UUAAUAGUAAUAGCAGUGUAGCGUCUUGUUCGCAUUUAUAGUCUUUGACGAAACAUGCUACGAUGAUAGGCAGAGCACUAGAUUUGACACACAGCCUUUUUCCAUUUACACUUCACAGAUCAGUCUGCUAGCUUCACAGGCAACUCCAUUAAAUAUAAUUUCCACAGCUUUACGCUGACAGCCGCCUUUCUUUUAUCAUAUGUGGAGUUUGUUUGAGAUUCAGGAGUGAUUUGAGCGGAAGUUUUAGCUGUUUGGGAUCUUGCAGGAGCUAAUGUUAGCCUGCUAGCUCUUUAUCUGUUUAUAAAUCUGCGAUCUCAACAACAUGAAGAUCACUGUGGAUUUUGAGGAAUGUCUUAAGGAUUCACCCAGAUUCAGGGCGACGAUCGAGGAGGUGGAGGGUGACGUCUGUGAGCUGGAGUCUAGACUUGAUAAGCUGGUGAAACUGUGCAUCGGAAUGAUAGAUGCUGGAAGGGCGUACAACACGGCCAACAAACAGUUUGUGACUGGCAUUCGUGAGCUGGCGCAGCAGUCUGCCAAAGAUGAUGUCAUAGAGUCGAGUCUUACAAAGUUUGCUGAGAGUCUUCAAGAGAUGAUCAACUAUCACACAAUUCUGUUCGAACAAGCACAACGAUCAAUUAAAUCACAACUUCAGACAUUUGUGCGAGAGGACCUCCGGAGGUUUAAAGAAGCAAAAAAACAGUUCGACAAAGUGAGCGAGGAGAAGGAGGCCGCUCUGGCAAAAAAUGCUCAGGCACCUCGCAACAAACAGCACGAGGUGGAAGAGGCCACCAACAUCCUCAACGCCACACGCAAAUGUUUCCGUCACAUCGUCCUGGACUACGUGAUGCAGAUUAAUGUGCUCCAGUCCAAAAGGCGCUCAGAAAUCCUCAAAUCGAUGCUGUCCUUCAUGUACGCCCACCUGACCUUUUUCCAUCAAGGUUAUGAUCUGUUCAGUGAACUACAACCCCUCAUGAAACACCUGACAGGACAGUUGGAUCAGUUGGUGGUGGAUGCAGCUAAAGAGAAGAAGGACAUGGAAUUGAAACACUCAACUAUACAACAGAAGUUGUUAACAGGGUCUGUCUUCUUUUCCCUGCACUCAUAUGAGGCCGCACUGCAGGACUUUUCGAAUGACGAUACCAAACUGGAGUAUAAUGUUGACGCAGAAAAUGGGAUUGUCAUGGAGGGAUAUCUCUUCAAGAGGGCCAGUAACGCCUUCAAAACAUGGAACAGGACACCACGGACGAUAACUAGGCGAUGGUUUUCGAUUCAAAACAAUCAGCUAGUGUACCAGAAGAAAUUUAAGGAUAAUCCCACUGUCGUGGUGGAAGACUUGCGAUUAUGCACCGUCAAACACUGCGAAGACAUUGAACGACGAUUCUGUUUCGAAGUUGUUUCCCCGACAAAGAGUUGCAUGAUGCAGGCAGACUCCGAGAAGCUCAGGCUGGCCUGGAUCAAAGCCGUCCAAAACAGCAUUGCAACAGCUUUUAGGGACAUAGCAGAGGAUGACGAGAAAAUGGACAGAAAGUCAUCUGCAUCUACAGGCAGUCUGGAGUCGAGCGGUGAUACGCGAGAGAAGACUCUUAAAGGGGACAGCGCGCUGCAGAAGGUUAUGGCCAUCGCGGGUAAUAACACCUGCUGUGAUUGUGGGCAGCCCGACCCGCGCUGGGCCAGCAUUAACCUGGGCAUCACUCUAUGCAUCCAGUGCUCCGGGAUACACAGGAGUCUUGGAGUUCACUUCUCUAAGGUCCGGUCACUCACGCUGGACACAUGGGAGCCUGAGCUGCUUAAGCUGAUGUGUGAGCUGGGAAAUGGUGUCAUUAAUCAGAUAUACGAGGCACGUUGGGAAGAGCUUGGAGCCAGAAAACCACAGCCAGGAGAUCCCCGGCAUGAAAUGGAGGCUUACAUCAAAGCCAAGUAUGUGGAGCGAAGGUUCGUCCAAAGGCGGUCGGAAGAUGAGAUCAGACAGAAAGUUUUAGCACUGAGUAAUCAGGACAAACCUCUCAGUGGCUGCUCAGAUGUUCAGCCUUCAAAAGGACCAGCAUCAUCGAAAACCCGUCCAGCCUCUGGCUCCUCAGCGCACUACGAGUCUCUCUUCUGUGUAGAUGAGCUUGAUUCUCUCUUCUCCUACUUUAACACCUCCGCCAAGCUGCGUAGUUUGAAAAGUUCAGACAGUGAGACACAGAAUCUCGCCGAUGGAGGAAGACAAACACGGAACUUGACCAACGCACAUGACAGGGAAGAAAGUGAGCCUCAGGGCGAAUGUUCGGGUAAAGAUGUCCUGGUGUUCUUUGAGCCGAAGCAGUUGACGCCGGGCCUUCAGCUCUACUGGGCGUCUCUGUCUCGCAGUCUACCUGAUAUGGCCGAAGCUCUCGCUCACGGAGCCGAGGUGAACUGGAUCAACGUGGAUGAUGGGAACCAGACGCCGCUCAUCAUGGCCGUUCAUGGGGGAUCACUGGUUGCAUGUGAAUUCCUGCUCCAGAAUACAGCCAGUGUGAACCUACAGGACAGUCUCGGUAGAGGUCCUUUACAUCAUGCCACCAUAUUGGGACAUACUGGGCAGGUGUGUUUAUUCCUGAAACGGGGAGCCAAUCAGAGCGCAGCGGAUAUAGAGAAUAAAACACCAUUGACGAUCGCAGUGGAGGCGGCAAAUGCUGAUAUUGUCACACUGCUUCGACUGGCCAAGAUGAACGAGGAGAUGCGUGAGUCGGAGGGUCCGUACAGUCAGACAGGUCAAUACAACUCUAACAGCCCUACUGAAAUGCAGUACAGAAAGUGUAUGGAGGAGUUUAUUAGCUUACAGCUCGGAGACUCCUAACACACACACACACACACACACACAUCAACACCAUGAAAGGCUGUAGCAUAUGAACAAGAUCUGUGAAUGUGCAUACACAGCCAGUGGAGCUGAGCUUCAUAUAACCCCAGGAUGGGUUCAUCUAACCUCCUAUUUUAAUCUAAAACGUCUUAUUAACAAACAGUGGGUCAAAAUCUGUUAGCACAGGGACAUGUGCAAUAAAUACAGUAGUUUUUUUUUAUUUGAUGUGAGAUCGUGUUCAACACAUAUGCCUUAUUGAUCAUAUGUUUUCUGCUUAUAAUGGUGGUGUAUUGGAAGUCAAGUUGAAUGAGUGUACAGUUUAAGCAUAUUUAUGAUCAUUCUGCCAUUGGGCAAAAAUCUCAGUUUAAGAUUUGUGUCUUUUUCACGAAUGUAUUUGAACUGGCCACAUGCCACAAUAAGUUAAAACAUAAUUUAAUGACAAAAAGGGAAAUUUAUUGAAUUAACAUUCAAAUAAUUUUACAGAUAAUAACAGUCUGGAAAUCCAAAAAAUAUGAAAUAUAGUGAAAUAUGCUGGAUCACAAAACCAGUCUUGCGUAGCUCGUGAACAUUUUUAGUAAAUUAAAGUAGUUAUUUUAUGCCAAAAAUCAUUCGGAAAUGAAGUAAAGAUCAAGUUCCAUGAAGAUAUUUUGUAAAUUUCCUACCUUAAAUAUAUAAAAACUUUAUUUUUGUGAGUGGGUGGCCUGCCACAGUGCCCCGAUUAACAACUUCGAAGGCAAUUUUCUUAAUAUCUCGAUUUUUUUUGCACUCUCUGUUUUAAACGGUUGUAUCUCAGCCAGACAUUGUCCUAUUCAAACAACUCGUACAUCAAUAGAAAUCUUAUUUAUUCAUCUUUUUCUCAAUUUCAAAUAAUUAACCGAUAAGGUUUUGUUGUCCACAUAUAUAUAUAAAUUAUAUACAGAAUUUUUAUGGUCAUAAGUCAUUAAGUUUACAUUUAAAUACGUUACAACAUGUUUUGUAAACUUUCAAACAACACUAUUCGAGUUUUGUCUUGACAAACUGUUUUAGUUACUGUUUUGAUGAUUUCUAGUUAAUAUGUAAUUUGUGUAAAAUUGCCAUUUAAAAUUUGUUUUAAUUCUACUUGAUUUGCUACCUCAUAUCAAUGUAAUACUAAUUUAGGAAUUGAAUUAGAAUUUAAAAAGCAAUCACAAUUCAAUUCUGAGUGGCACAGAAGUCUUUCCAGCACAUUCCUGAUAUAUAAUUUCAUUAGAUUUGUUAACAUCAGACCAGAGAUCAUUGCAUUUACCCGAGAAUAAAAAUUAUGAAUGCAUAACAGGGUUAACCAAUUUAAAGCGGUGAUAAUUGUAUAGACUAUUUUAUGUAGCAGACAUAUGGAGAUUUUAAUGAUUUUAAGUCAAGAAUUUUAUUUAACAAAAAAACAUUGAUGAAGACGUCUGCAUGAAUUAUAUUUGUAGAAUUAUAUGUAGUAUAUAUUUUUAAUGAAAUGUGCAAUGAACUUGUUAGAAUUUUUACGUUAAUCGGAGUUUAUUUAGAUAUAAAUAUUUCAAAAGCAAAACAAUAAUAAAAAAAGAAAUGUCAGAAUAUUAAGUAUACAUAUGUGUAUCUAUGUAAUACAUUUUUGGUUAUUUAAUAAAGGUGCCAUAUUGGGUGAGGUCUGUUUAAAAUGUUUGCUUUAUACUACAGAUACAUUUGUAUUAUUAUUUUAGAGUUGGAAUACUAGUUGUAGACACAGAGGGGCACAAUAAAGCAGGACUCAUGUCAGCCGCUCACCAGACAUGUGUAUAAACAUACAAAAGCUAGUCUCAGGUUUCAUGAAUAUCAACAUUAAAAAGCCCUUUGUAAAGCUGGCAGAAUUAUUCAUUGUAUUGAUGCACAUUGUAUUGAAAUGGACGUAUAAUAGUUAUUCACCGUAUGUAAUUCUGCAAUGCACUGUUGUACAGUAUAUGUUGUAUAUUUCUGAGCACCUUUUUUUUCUAUUUCCAAUCUCACAGCCUGUAAGAAACAGGCAAAAAUCAUGUUUUAAAAGAGCCUUGAUAGAAGUUAAGCUGUACUGUGUCGGUAGCAUAUAACUGAUGAAAAGUUCUCUAAAAUCUUCACAACACUUGUCACUCUCUUGAAUGUUUUAAGGUGUUUGAAUGUAAAAUGUAGCCAGAGAGAUCAAAUAUAAUAUAUUGUUUUUAUUAUAUAUUUUAUUUAUUUGAUGUCACAUUCUUUUCAACUCUGCAAACAUCUGCAUUUCUUUCUUUUCUGCUGCAUUUUCCUGCUGUCUUCUGAGUUUCUCUAAUGAAGUUCUUCAGGUGAUGAAACCUAUCAGGACAUUUUCCAAGACUUCUCGCAAAUGGCAUCAAAUGAUCCAGAUAAACUCAACCGCUUCACAUAAAUUCAGUUUAGGUAACAUGAUUAAUGCCGAAAUUCCAUUGUUUUAUUGGAUUACUUACAGAAUAUUGGCCAUUAUAUCAAGUAUAAAAUGUAUUCAUCUGAAGGUAAUCUUUCUAUUAUGCAAAGUGUUGUUUUUAAUGUCAAAUACCCUUCCUGGUAUAAUUAAAUAUAUGAGACGUCUUUUUGUCAUGAAAUCAAUCUUAUUUGCCCAAAUUAUAUUGCACUCACAGUCUCAUUGUAGCAGGCUGUGUUUUUGUCUAAGAUUGUAAAUGCUGAUCAAAUGUUCCAUGUAGAGUUUAUAACUGGGUUUCUCUAUACGUGAACAGUGAAUAAUGGGAGUAUUUGUUGUGGGAGUUUAUGGGCACCAUUCAUGAAACACAAUGACACAUUUUUAUGUUUGUAAAAUCAUUUACUGUUAACUUGCACAAAUCUCUGGUGUGAUUGUGAACGGAAACUGAUUUUUAUUGAGCAAAUAUGGGUCAAAUAUGGAAUACAAUUAGCUGUUAGCCUGACUGUAGUUGACAUAACAGUGUACAUAAAAAUAUUUUCAAAAAAACAAUGCAUUUAUUUCGUUGUUUCGUGCAUGUUUUUAUUUUUCAAUAAUCGUUGUUUAAUUUGAGGUUUCAAGACAUUUUUGAAAGAGAAUAAAAAUCUUGCCUAAUGUUUUUA
RNA transcript from Triplophysa dalaica, 5845 nucleotides. It is a transcript of the gene named arf-GAP with coiled-coil, ANK repeat and PH domain-containing protein 2-like, with no coding region annotated. The record is from RefSeq and is a predicted model, not a curated record. NCBI's taxonomy places the organism in Eukaryota, Metazoa, Chordata, Actinopteri, Cypriniformes, Nemacheilidae. The transcript is spliced from 26 exons.